CUUUCAACAAUGGAUCUCUUGGCUCUCGCAUCGAUGAAGAACGCAGCGAAAUGCGAUAAGUAAUAUGAAUUGCAGAAUUCCGUGAAUCAUCAAAUCUUUGAAACGCAAAUUGCACUUCUUGGUAUUCCGAGGAGUAUACAUGCUUGAGGGUCAGUU
This 156-nucleotide ribosomal RNA is filed under the name Gigaspora margarita. RNAcentral's name for it is "5.8S ribosomal RNA". It matches the Rfam family "5.8S ribosomal RNA". Rfam says of the family: 5.8S ribosomal RNA (5.8S rRNA) is a component of the large subunit of the eukaryotic ribosome. It is transcribed by RNA polymerase I as part of the 45S precursor that also contains 18S and 28S rRNA. Functionally, it is thought that 5.8S rRNA may be involved in ribosome translocation. Lineage: Eukaryota; Fungi; Glomeromycota; Glomeromycetes; Diversisporales; Gigasporaceae. The record is from RNAcentral.